CCGAGCGGUCGGUCGACGCCGUGGAAACGCUGGCCGAAAAAAACGACAAAAAAAGUGUUUUCUUUUUUUUCGCGCAACGCUUUUUUGGCGGUUUGAUAACGAUAACGGUUUCGUUAUCUAUGCUAAUGACAUGUGAGAGUGGCGGGUGUUUGCGUCUCGCUCGCGCGGUUUUUUUUUCGUGCGUUUUGUGUGUGCUUGUGACUUUGUGUUUGUGAUGUGAUUUUGAGUGAAGAUGGUGCGCGGGAAACACAACGUGAAGACCGCAAUGUUAUAGUCAAAUAUUUAUUUUAAUUAAUUCAGUGCAAUAAAACAUAUAAAUUGUAUAUUUGAUUGUUAAUCACAACUAAAACGGGUUUCAAUGUAAUUGACGACUGCUUCGCGCAUUUUUGUUAUUAUAACAAUUAGUUUUGUUAAAAAAUUGUUAAUGCCAUCGUGGUUUUAAAUGAGAUUAAUUUAUUUAUCUUAUUUGUUUGAGUUAUAACAUAAAUAGUAACAAAAACUACAUAAUAUGGACAUUGAAGUAUUAAUUUCAAGUGAUUCUUUAAACCUUCAUUUAAAUAAUGUUUCGGACAUACAAAGAUAGUGGUUCUUUUGUGAAAUGUGUACAAACUUAUGAUGAACAUUGUGAACAAAAGAACAUUAAAUUUGAGGGUUAAACUGGACAAGGGGGUACAAUGUGGUUCAUAUGAGUGACUGUAGAGACCAGAGUUGUGAGAUGUAUACCACGUGGUACAGUAGGGGGGAUGGGGGGAUGCACCACCACCAAAUGGGGCAGCUGUACCACCAUGGCCCCCCCAUGAUCAAGACGGAGGCGGGGGUCAAUAAUGACUGCAUGAUGGCGGUGGAUUAUGCACCUCCUAUUAAGGCAGGAGCAUCAUCGGCGUUCGUCUGGAGCGGAGGGGGGGUGACGGGCGCGGGGGGGCAGGAGCAGCCGGCAG
This is a long non-coding RNA of Ostrinia nubilalis (European corn borer), 938 nucleotides long. RefSeq lists it as uncharacterized. NCBI's taxonomy places the organism in Eukaryota, Metazoa, Arthropoda, Insecta, Lepidoptera, Crambidae. The record is from RefSeq and is a predicted model, not a curated record. The transcript has 3 exons.